This 440-nucleotide ribosomal RNA is filed under the name uncultured bacterium. Its description in RNAcentral is "partial 16S ribosomal RNA". It matches the Rfam family "Bacterial small subunit ribosomal RNA", at positions 338 to 795 of the family's 1533-position model. The record is from RNAcentral.
CCUACGGGAGGCAGCAGUGGGGGAUAUUGCACAAUGGGGGAAACCCUGAUGCAGCGACGCCGCGUGAGCGAUGAAGUAUUUCGGUAUGUAAAGCUCUAUCAGCAGGGAAGAAAAUGACGGUACCUGACUAAGAAGCCCCGGCUAACUAAGGGCCAGCAGCCGUGGUAAUACGUAGGGGGCAAGCGUUAUCCGGAUUUACUGGGUGUUAAGGGAGCGUAGACGGCAGUGCAAGUCUGAAGUGAAAGGCAAGGUCUCAACCCGUGGGCUGCUUUGGAAACGGUGCAGAGGGAGUGUCGGAGAGGCAAGUGGAAUUCCUAGAGUAGCGGUGGAAUGCGUAGAUAUUAGGAGGAACAGCAGUGGCGAAGGCGGCUUGCUGGACGAUGACUGACGUUGAGGCUCGAAAGCGUGGGGAGCAAACAGGAUUAGAUACCCUUGUAGUC